RNAcentral lists this long non-coding RNA (7875 nucleotides) under Solanum lycopersicum (tomato). Its description in RNAcentral is "long non-coding RNA (SLYC_LNC000118)". Lineage: Eukaryota; Viridiplantae; Streptophyta; Magnoliopsida; Solanales; Solanaceae. The record is from RNAcentral.
UUACGAUAUUCGUAGUGAACUCUUAAUAGUGAAUAUUAUGUGUUGAUAGUAUUGUAAACCCUGCUAUGUGCUUAAGUUGUAUGCUUGCAUGAUUAUGAUUAUGAAAUUGUGAUGAAUUAACAAAGCAUGAUGAAGCUAUUGAAUCCCAAAUCUUGAAAGAACCCUAAUUCGCUUGAUAUAUUAUAUAAUGAGAAUGAUGAUGCCUUAGUAUGAAAGAAGGCUUGAUAAAUUAUAUAAUGAGAAUGAUGAUGCCUUAGUGUAAAAGAAGGCUUGAUGAAUUAGGGGAUCGGGUGCCACGUUCCGGUACCAGGAUAGAAUGAAUAUGAGGAUCGGGUGCCACGUUCCGGUACCAGGAUAGAAUGAAUAUGAGGAUCGGAGUGUCACGUUCCGACACCAGGAUAGAAUAUGGAUCGGGUGCCACGUUCCGGUACCAGGAUAGAAUAUGAGGAUCGGAGUGUCACGUUCCGACACCAGGAUAGAAAAUGGAUCGGGUGCCACGUUCCGGUACCAGGAUAGAAUGAGGAUCGGAGUGCCACGUUCCGGCACCAGGAUAGAAAUAGAGGAUCGGAGUGUCACGUACCGACACAAGAGGAAGAAAGAUAAUGAAUCUUGAAAGAUAAUAAAUAUACUCAAUCUAAUGAACUUAAUUCCCAAAUGAGUAUGGUAUUGAGGCUUGAGUCCUCAUGUGUGAACUCGGUUGUAGUUAUUGAUGAAUUCAUGUUGUUAUUGCUACAUGUUGAGUAUUGUAGUUGAUUUACAUUAUUAUUGAUAUAUACUGUUCCCUAUUUUGAGUUGGCCGAUGAUAUCUACUCAGUACGUGUGGUUGUACUGACCCCCUACUUUCAUGUUUUCCUCUUUGUUAUUUGUGUAAUGCAGCAAACGUUCCGUCAACUUCAACUCAACAGUAGAUCUAGCCAGUCUUCACUUCAUCGGAAAAUUCAGGGUGAGCUAAUGCGUCUAGCUUGGACUGGGUCUUCUUCUUCAAGUCUUGAUGCCUUGAACUUCCGGCAUGGACUGGCUUUUUAGUUAUUUUGUUCUUAGACAUUCCUAGUUAAGUAAUUUGAGAUAGAUGUUCUUGUGAUGAUGACUUCCAGAUUUUGGGGAUAAUAAUAAUAGUAUUGAAUUGUUUUUAUUAAUGAGUUUAAGUCUUCCGCAUUAUUUUCUGUUGAUAUAUCUUGAAAUGUUAAGGUUUAGAUGGGUUGGUUCGCUCACAUAGGAGGGUAAAUGUGGGUGCCAGUCGCGUCCCUGAUUUGGGUCGUGACAAACUUGGUAUCAGAGCAUUAGGUUCAUUGGUCUCAUCACACAAGAACAGGUCUAGUAGAGUCUUAAGGAACGGUAGGGGGACGCCUUUACUUUUCCUUGAGAGGCUAUAAGACUUUAGGAAAAUUUCACUCUUUCAUUCUUCUUUCGUGCUACUACUUGAGUCCAAUUGGUAUCUGGGCGAUACGAAUUGGUAUCUGACCAUCUUCACUCUAUUUCGCAGAUGGUUAGAACUAGAGCAACGACCGCACCAGCAGCAACAACGGAAAGACAAGAAACGACUGAGCCAGCCACUGGGGCUGUAGCUCGAGGAAGAGCAACGGCAAGAGGCCGUGGGAGAGGUCGUGGGAGGAUGUCCUCUAGAGGAAGAGGACAAGCACCUAGCCCAUCUGAUACUAGGGCGGUGACUCCUCCACCGACCGAGGAGGUGAUAAGAGAGGGGGAGGAAUGGGAGAAUGAACAAGGGCAGAAUGAGGAAAUGCCACCCCAACCUACCCCAGAGAUGAUCAACCAGGUACUUGCUUAUCUUAGUGGGUUAUCCGAUCAGGGUCAGGCACCUCCAGUGGUUUCUGCACCAACACCUCCGGUUUCAGAGGUACGACAUGCGGCUACUAUGGCUCCCCGCAUGGAUGCAUCAUUGGGAAUAGGCACAUUUCCACGUCUGACUACUGGGCCUAUUAUGACAAAUGAUCAGCAUGAACUUUUCAGUAAGUUCUUGAAAUUGAAACCUCCAGUCUUUAAGGGCGCAGAAUCAGAGGAUGCCUACGAUUUUCUAGUUGAUUGUCAUGAGCUACUACACAAGAUGGGUAUAGUAGAACGGUUUGGCGUUGAGUUCGUGAGCUAUCAGUUUCAAGGGAACGCCAAAACGUGGUGGCGGUCACAUGUUGAGUGUCAACCAACAGAGGCACCACCUAUGACUUGGGAAUCAUUCUCUACCCUGUUUAUGGAGAAGUAUAUCCCAAGGACUUUGAGAGAUAGAAAAAGGGACGAGUUCUUGAGUCUAGAGCAAGGGAGGAUGACAGUUAACGCGUAUGAGGCUAAAUUUCGCGCACUAUCCAGAUACGCCACCCAACUUUGUUUCAGUCCACAAGAACGGAUUCGCCGUUUUGUGAAGGGGUUGAGGUCAGAGUUGCGGAUUUCAGCCUUACAGGUAGCGGCUACGGCAACAUCCUUCUAAGAGGUGGUAGACUUUGUGAUAGAGGUGGAAGGAGUGAAGCCAGACGACUUCACCACGACAUUGACAUCGAAAAGGUUUCGAAGGGGAGGCAAGUUUAAUGGUUCUCACUCUAGAGGACAGAGCUCCGGAGGUUACUCAAGUCGACCAAUUUAGUCUUCACUACAGACUGUAGUUGGGGGUCCACCUCAGAACGGUCAACACUACUCCGAGAGACCUAUGCAUGAACCCCGAGGGUGUUAUGGAUGUGGGGAGGUUGGACACAUCAAGAGGUAUUGUCCAAACCAGAGUUACAGAACCCCACUAGCUAGAGGUAGAGGUGGUCAUGGUAGAGGCCGCUUUUCUGGAGGACGUGGUGGUCGAGGUAAUGGUGGUCAUCACAACGGCAGAGGUGAUGGGCAAAAUGGAGCCACUACUACGCAACAUGGUAGGGGCAAUGGACAGACAAACGAUAGGGCCCAUUGUUACGCUUUCCCUAGGAGAUCUGAAGCGGAGGCGUCUGAUGCUGUUAUCACAGGUAAUCUUUUGGUUUGUGAUUGCAUGGCAUCUGUAUUAUUUGACCCUGGAUCCACGUUUUCAUAUGUAUCUUCAUCAUUUGCUAAUGGUCUAAAAUUGCAUUCUGAAUUACUUGACAUGCCUAUUCGUGUUUCUACACCGGUGGGUGAGUCUGUGGUAGUUGAAAAGGUACAUAGGUCUUGUUUGGUGAACUUUGUGGGGAGCAACACUUAUGUAGAUUUGGUUAUUUUAGAAAUGGGUGACUUUGAUGUAAUUCUGGGUAUGACUUGGCUUUCUCCAAAUUUUGCGAUCUUGGAUUGUAAUGCUAAAACUGUGACGUUAGCCAAGCCUGGGACAGAUCCGUUAGUGUGGGAGGGUGACUACACUUCCAAUCCGGUGCGUAUCAUCUCAUUUCUUCGUGCUAAGAAAAUGGUUAGUAAAGGGUGUUUAGCUUUCUUGGCCCAUCUCAAGGAUGACACUACUUAAGUACCUUCGAUUGAGUCGGUUUCGGUAGUCCGCGAGUUUUUGGAGGUGUUCCCUGCAGAUCUUCCUGGUAUGCCACCAGAUAGGGACAUUGACUUCUGUAUCGAUCUUGAACCGGGCACACGCCCCAUUUCUAUACCCGUAUAGAAUGGCUCCCGCGGAGUUAAGAGAGUUAAAGGCUCAACUUCAAGAGUUGUUGAGCAAGGGCUUCAUUAGACCAAGUGCAUCUCCUUGGGGUGCUCCGGUUUUGUUUGUGAAGAAGAAGGAUGGGAGUUUUCGGAUGUGCAUAGACUACCGACAGUUGAACAAGGUAACUAUUAAGAACAAGUAUCCUCUUCCUCGCAUUGAUGACUUAUUCGAUCAAUUACAAGGUGCUUGUGUCUUCUCUAAGAUUGACUUGAGAUCCGGUUAUCAUCAAUUGAAAAUACGGGCAACGGAUGUGCCAAAGACUGCUUUUCGAACGAGGUAUGGACAUUACGAAUUUGUGGUGAUGUCUUUUGGUCUUACGAACGCCCCUGCUGCGUUCAUGAGCUUGAUGAACGGGAUAUUUAAGCCGUAUUUGGACCUCUUUGUGAUCGUAUUUAUAGAUGAUAUACUGGUAUAUUCUAAAAGUAAGAAGGAACAUGAGGAGCAUUUGAGGGUUGUGUUGGAAAUGUUGAGGGAGAAAAAGCUUUACGCCAAGUUCUCUAAGUGUGAGUUUUGGCUAGAUGCAGUGUCGUUCUUGGGGCAUGUGGUUUCGAAGAAUGGGGUGAUGGUAGAUCCUUCUAAGAUUGAGACAGUGAAGAAUUGGGUAAGACCCACUAAUGUGUCAGAAAUACGGAGUUUUGUUGGGUUAGCUAGCUACUACCGCCGCUUUGUCAAAUGAUUCUCUUCUAUUGCUUCCCAAUUGACGAACUUGACUAAGCAGAAUGUUCCAUUUGUAUGGUCAGAUGAAUGUGAGGAAAGCUUUCAGAAGCUUAAGACUUUGUUGACUACCGCACCUAUCCUCACCUUGCCGGUAGAGGGUAAGAACUUCAUUGUUUAUUGUGAUGCAUCCUAUUCGGGUUUGGGUGCAGUGCUAAUGCAAGAGAAGAACGUGAUUGCUUAUGCCUCAAGACAAUUAAAAGUGCAUGAACGUAACUAUCCAACUCAUGACUUGGAAUUGGCCGCGGUAGUGUUUGCAUUGAAGCAAUGGAGACACUAUUUAUAUGGGGUUAAGUGUGAGGUCUACACGGAUCAUCGUAGCCUUCAGUAUGUCUUUACUCAGAAAGAUUUGAACUUGAGGCAAAGGAGAUGGAUGGAACUACUGAAGGACUACGACCUCACUAUUUUGUAUCAUCCGGGGAAGGCAAAUGUUGUGGCAGAUGCCUUGAGUAGAAAGGCGGGAAGCAUGGGAAGUCUAGCUCAUUUGCAAGCCUCUAGACGCCCAUUGGCUAGAGAGGUUCAGACUCUGGCUAACGACUUGAUGAGGUUGGAAAUAAAUGAGAAGGGAGGAUUGUUGGCUAGUGUGGAGUCAAGAUCUUCUUUUCUUGACAAGAUUAAGGGAAAACAGUUUGAUGAUGAGAAACUAAGGCGAAUCCGAGAUAAAGUGUUGCGAGGAGAGGCUAAAGAAGCAACAAUCGACGAGGAAGGUGUGUUGAGGAUUAAGGGAAGGGUAUGUGUACCCCGCAUUGAUGAUUUGAUCAACACUAUUCUGGCAGAAGCUCAUAGUUCAAGGUAUUCUAUACAUCCGGGUGCAACCAAGAUGUAUCGCGACCUAAAACAACACUUUUGGUGGAGUAGAAUGAAGCGCAAUAUUGUUGACUUUAUUGCCAAGUGUCCAAACUGUCAACAAGUGAAAUAUGAACACCAAAGGCCCGGAGGAACACUUCAAAGAAUGCCCAUUCCUGAAUGGAAGUGGGAGAGAAUUGCAAUGGACUUUGUGGUUGGUCUUCCAAAGACACUGGGGAAGUUUGAUUCAAUUUGGGUAAUUGUGGACAGAUUGACUAAGUCUGCUCAUUUCAUUCCGGUCAAGGUGACUCACAAUGCAGAGAAGUUAGCAAAAAUCUACAUCUCAGAAAUCGUUCGAUUGCAUGGGGUUCCACUAUCCAUUAUAUCAGAUAGAGGUACGCAGUUUACUUCUAUGUUUUGGAAAACAUUGCAUGCAGAAUUGGGUACUAGGUUGGACCUUAGUACCGCGUUCCAUCCUCAGACCGAUGGUCAGUCUGAGCGAACGAUUCAAGUGUUGGAGGAUAUGCUUCGCGCAUGCGUGAUAGAGUUUGGUGGCCAUUGGGAUAGCUUCUUACCUUUGGCAGAGUUUUCGUACAAUAAUAGCUAUCACUCCAGUAUUGAUAUGGCUCCAUUUGAAGCAUUGUAUGGGAGGAGGUGUAGAUCUCCCAUUGGUUGGUUUGAUGCAUUCGAGGUUAGACCUUGGGGUACCGAUCUCUUGAGGGAUUCGUUAGAAAAGGUGAAGGGCAUUCAAGAAAAGCUUCUAGCGGCGCAAAGUAGACAAAAGGAGUAUGCAGACCGGAAGGUUAGAGACUUGGAGUUCAUGGAAGGUGAACAAGUCUUGUUGAAGGUUUCACCCAUGAAAGGGGUGAUGCGGUUUGGCAAAAGAGGUAAGCUAAGUCCAAGGUAUAUUGGACCAUUUGAGGUACUAAAGCGAAUAGGGGAGGUGGCUUAUGAAUUAGCCUUGCCCCCAGGGCUGUCCGAAGUGCAUCCGGUAUUUCAUGUGUCCAUGUUGAAAAGAUACCAUGGAGAUGGAAACUACAUUAUCCGUUAGGACUCAGUGUUGUUGGAUGAGAACUUGACUUAUGAAGAGGAACCAGUUGCUAUAUUAGAUAGAGAAGUUCGCAAGUUGAGAUCGAGAGAGAUUGCAUCCAUCAAAGUUCAAUGGAAGAAUCGACCGGUUGAAGAGGCUACUUGGGAGAAGGAGGCGGAUAUACAAGAAAAAUACCCACAUCUGUUUACAGAUUCAGGUACUCCUUUUCGCCAUUGUUUUUCUUCUUUUGAUCAUUCGGGGACGAACGAUGGGUAAAUUGGUAUCUAUUGUAACGACCUGUUUAGUCGUUUUGAGCAACAGAUUUUAUUUCUGGAAAAACUGGCUGGGACGACGGAUGUAACGACGGACCGUCAUAGUCACGACGGCCCGUCGAGGAGGUGUCGUCCCAUGACACUUAGAAUUUUGAAAUUGGGUACUCAAAAUCGACUCUCUGUAAAUUGUGACGGACCUGCAGGACGUGCCGUCACAUCCACGACGAACCGUCGUGAGUUUUCGUUGCAAAACACUUCAACUUUUGAGAAUUUGAUACAAGAAACGAGUUUCUGACCGUCAUGACGGAGGAACAGGACGGAUCGUCACAACUGUGACGGGCCGUCACAGGCUACGUGAGUUCGAGGGAGCUGCGACGACCUGUGUGACGGACCGUCGCAGGCACGACGGCCCGCACAGGUUGCGCAGUCCCAGGCAAAAUAGGAUUCCUCUACACGUUUUAGGGGUCGUUUUGGACUAUUCUUUCCUUAAUUAUAAAGAUUGAGGGUUAAUAUUAAUAGGUCUAAUUACUUGGGGGUUAAAAGAGGUAACCUUAAGUUAAUUAGUGGGUUUUAUUGUCCUCCUUUACACUUAAUUAUACUUUUAAUUAGGGUAAAAAGAAGGAGGGUUUGAAUAAAACAAAACAAAAGAAAAGAACAGAAAGAGAGGAGAAAUGAACGAGUAGAGAGAGAGAGAAACGAAGAGGAUAGCAAGGAUUUUGAGAAGAUAGCUUGUUGAUUCAAUUCUUCGGUGGAGGUAGGUUAUGGUUUAUGUUACGAUAUUCGUAGUGAACUCUUAAUAGUGAAUAUUAUGUGUUGAUAGUAUUGUAAACCCUGCUAUGUGCUUAAGUUGUAUGCUUGCAUGAUUAUGAUUAUGAAAUUGUGAUGAAUUAACAAAGCAUGAUGAAGCUAUUGAAUCCCAAAUCUUGAAAGAACCCUAAUUCGCUUGAUAUAUUAUAUAAUGAGAAUGAUGAUGCCUUAGUAUGAAAGAAGGCUUGAUAAAUUAUAUAAUGAGAAUGAUGAUGCCUUAGUGUAAAAGAAGGCUUGAUGAAUUAGGGGAUCGGGUGCCACGUUCCAGUACCAGGAUAGAAUGAAUAUGAGGAUCGGGUGCCACGUUCCGGUACCAGGAUAGAAUGAAUAUGAGGAUCGGAGUGUCACGUUCCGACACCAGGAUAGAAUAUGGAUCGGGUGCCACGUUUCGGUACCAGGAUAGAAUAUAAGGAUCGGAGUGUCACGUUCCGACACCAGGAUAGAAUAUGGAUCGGGUGCCACGUUCCGGUACCAGGAUAGAAUGAGGAUCGGAGUGCCACGUUCCGGCACCAGGAUAGAAAUAGAGGAUCGGAGUGUCACGUACCGACACAAGAGGAAGAAAGAUAAUGAAUUUUGAAAGAUAAUGAAUAUACUCAAUCUAAUGAACUUAAUUCCCAAAUGAGUAUGGUAUUGAGGCUUGAGUCCUCAUGUGUGAACUCGGUUGU